AUGGUGGCUAUGCAGAGAAUUAAAAUAUGAGGAAUAACCAUCUAGUUUGCUCUGCAUGGCUGUUAUUAAAAAUCACUGAUGUUUAUGUACUCAUAAUCUGUGCAGCCUUGUUUCUGUACGGAGCGAUCUAUGAAGGAAUUUGUAGGAAAAAAAAAUAUCUGCUCUAUUGUUUCAGUUGUGAGUGAGAUACAAAGAUCAGUCUGAAACAUGUAAAUAUUGUAGAUUUAAUUGUCGGUGCUAAAGGUUAAAAAUGACUUAGCUUUUUUCACACUUCCCCUGAGAUAUUAUAUCUGUCAGGUCCUUAUCACUGACCUUCAAUAUAACUGAUAUCUCUCACACGACUUGGAUAACUUGUUUUUUUUUUUAAGUCUCUCUUCUACGUCUAUUCGGAAUACUCCUACAUUCCUGGCACGUUCGCUACAGUUUAAGCUCAUGCAAACCUACUGGAAGCUGGUGGGUUGUUCUUUAGUCCUGCAAUAAACUCACUAGCAAGAUUGGCUUGAUUACUAUGGGGACGAGUGAUUCCUGGUAAAAUGAGAUUAUACUUGGACGUACUUGAAGAACUCUUGGCUGGCUGUGGACGAGUAGCUGCUGUUGGUGGCCUGGUCUGUGCAGUUGGGGGUGUUCCAGGUGUUGUUGCAGCUCUGCCAUGGAAGAGGCGCCUGGAAGGAGCUAAAGAGGUAAUACAAGGCCCAGGUGAUCACCACGUUGUAGUAGGUGCACAUGAUGAAGGAGAUGGCCACAGAUGCCAUGCCAACCCCUGAGGUGAGACAAAAAUCACUGACAUCUUCUUUUUUUUUACCGACUAUGGGGAAAAAGGAGGGCAAAGUACCUUUUAAUAGUGGGCAAACAGUGGCCAGGGCAUGAACAGGGCCUCUCCUGGUAUACUGGCCCACAGUCAGCUCCAUGUAGAGCAGAGGGAUCCCCAACACCGCCAGCAUGAACAGAUAGGGCACCAGAAAGGCACCUGGCAGACAGAACGCAGAGAUAGGGGAACCUCCAAACGUUCCCCAGACCCACUGCACAGCCGAUUCCUGCCAGGGUGAACUCUAUCUGCCGGCUCCAUGUCGGUCUGCUGGGCUCCUGCUCCUGCUGGUCCAUGCUGUCCUUCUUACUCGCCACGGCUGCUCGUUUGGGCCAGAACUCAAUGGAGAGCUUGAAGGGGUUCCCAAAGAACUGACUGGGAUUCAAGGAGACAGAAGCAGACAUCCAGAAAGAAGCAGAGAUACAAAAGGCAACUGUUGACAAGUUCCACAGACGCCGCUGUCAAGGAAACACACAGCCAGGCAGACGAGCUCCGAGCCGGCUCCCCUGUCAGAGGAUGAAUGAGAGCAAAUACAGUUAGUCACAGCCAGAGAAAUAGGACUAAACUGAAAAACAGGCUGAGCUCCAACAUGUUUUUAUUAUUAUUUUUUUUCUCUUCAGCACUAGUGACCCCUUAUGGUACAGUAGUCUGACUAAAAAGGGGUGCAAGAGAGAGGGAGAGACAUCCAGCAAAGGACUAAAAGCCAGAUUAGAACCACGUCGAGGACUAAGGCCUCCAUACAUGUGUUGUGCAUGUUAACCAGUGUGCCACUGAAGCACGCCCAAUCUCCAACAUAUAUAAACAAAGGUGUUGAUGGCAGCAGCACAGCUGAUAUUUCUCUCCAGGACGGAGUCACAGCCAAACAGGAACAGACCAGAUGAACCUACUAUGGUGAGAAAAAGCAGAGAGACUAUACAAUUAGAGAUUGAAUAAAUUCUGCAGUGGGAGAAUAGAGACCGAAUGAAGCAGAAUGA
This is a long non-coding RNA of Cyprinodon tularosa, 1779 nucleotides long. RefSeq lists it as uncharacterized. The transcript has 3 exons. Lineage: Eukaryota; Metazoa; Chordata; Actinopteri; Cyprinodontiformes; Cyprinodontidae. The record is from RefSeq and is a predicted model, not a curated record.